Molecule: transfer RNA, 74 nt
Filed under: Nitrospirota bacterium
Lineage: Bacteria; Pseudomonadati; Nitrospirota
Also listed under: 1 other name
Description: Nitrospirae bacterium (marine sediment metagenome) tRNA-Gln
Rfam family: tRNA
About the family: Transfer RNA (tRNA) molecules are approximately 80 nucleotides in length.
Source: RNAcentral
UGGGGCGUGGCCAAGUGGUAAGGCAACGGGUUCUGGUCCCGUCACCGGGGGUUCGAAUCCCUCCGCCCCAGCCA